Molecule: long non-coding RNA, 991 nt
Organism: Eriocheir sinensis (Chinese mitten crab)
Lineage: Eukaryota; Metazoa; Arthropoda; Malacostraca; Decapoda; Varunidae
Exons: 7
Source: RefSeq, a predicted model, not a curated record
UGGGUAGUAUCGCAACUUAUUUCCCCGAGGAGGCAUUUCUCGUACACACCCGGCCCCAGCCGUGGAGGGAGGAGGCUGGUGUGUUAUUUUUGUGUUUUUUGAAGCGAAUUAUCCUGUUGCCGAGGGAGCCAUGCAUCUAGAAACGGCCAGGGAAGGAGACGGUGGCUGAGUGGUUAGCGUGCCGGUCCUGCGUUCGCUGCGUCAUGGAUGAUGAGGGUUUCAAUCUGCUGCCACAGACUACUUGUCCUGAAGACCACCACCAUCAUCCUGGACUGUAUGGGACUGUCCAAGGGAAAGCAAGAUGGGGCAGCUAUAAACACUUGCCGGCUUGGGCCCACCACCAGGCCCAGCCAAGGGAGGUUGGUGUAGCAGUGCUGGGAGGUUCCAUAACACAGGGCACUCCUCACCUCAACAACAGUCUCUUCACCGACAAGUAAUUCUUCACCAACAAGCUUUUCAGCAGCUUGGAGGAAUAGCAGAUGUGAGUGAUCCUGUUUUAACCACGUCUAAUAAGUGUCAACAGCUGUUCCAACCAUUCCGAUUUGAGGGUAGUGUGUCAGCCUCUGAGGCCGGUCCGUCCAUCCCUGUCAGUAUCCUGCGUGAUACAGGUGCCUCGCACAGUAUUGUGACACUACCAAACGAAGAAGAGGAGGAGGAGGAGGAGGAGGACUGGGAAGAAGACGAGGAACACAGGAGGAACCCAUUGAGAGAACAAGAAGAAGAAGAAGAAGAAGAAGAAGAGGAGGACACAGGAAUUCCUUGGUGCAGAAGUCUUGUGAAACUGUCAGCAGGGUCACAUUAAACUCUAGCAGAUGAACCUGACUCAGUAAAGGUGGUAUAUCACUCAUCAGGCAACAACAACAUGACAAAAUAAUAAUAGGCCGAAGUGAUAGCGUACUGGACCCACAUUCGCCGCGUGAUGGACGACGCGGGUUCGAAUCCUCACGCUACCACGCUGUGUGGGGCCGGGAAGAUGUGCCGUGGGCUCAAC